CCCGGCGUGAGCUCGUUGUCAGCACCCAGAGUGUUACGAGUCUGUAAAAAUGUGGGAUGAAUGAAUGAAUGACCCAGUCAUGGCUGGACAGGCUUUGCCCAGCAGAAGGGUCAGGGGUCUGCAGCCAAGGGAGAGGAGGGACAAAGGUCCUGGUCCUGCCAGCGUGGGAACAGCUCCUUCCUUUCCUUCCAGCAGGCGCCCAACACCCAGGGACUGGGAGCCAGAUGCUCAGAGGCUUGACAGCCUCAGGGAGUCCAGACUCACCUUCCAGAGCGGCCCCUCCACCCCUCAUGUCACCAGACAUGGGGAUUCAGCCUGGAUCGGUCCAUCCCGUGCGCUGAUGAAAGGGCAAUGGUGCAAAAUUCGUUGGGGAGAAAAACAGGAAGUGGAGCCUGAGAGCAAGGCUGCAGAAACGCUCCCCGGGCGUUGGCCGCCCUUCCACCCGCAGCCUUACAGGAAAGUGGCGAGGGGGCAGCCCCAGCCCGGGCUGUGGGGGCGUGCGGUGGGGGUGCUGGUGGGAGAGUCCAGGAAAGACCCUUCCGCUGUAUUUUUAGGGGCUGUGUCUUGUAGAGCAAACGCUACCUCUGUGUCCUGCACUUGACAUCUCCUCUCACCUGUUCACAGCGGCUCCUCAAGAGUCGCAGAUGGAGUCCCCCCAGGCCCACGGAACCUGGCCACCCGUACAGAAGGCACCGCGGCCCCCCACCCCCCUUCUCUGAGGUCGAAACCACAAUGUCGUGCUGUGGCCUUCACUCACCCGUCACGACAGGGGUCCCUUUCCCAGAAGCCUCUGGGGGCUGCCAGACCACAGCAGAAGCCAGGUGUCACCAAGCCUCGCGGUCUGUGCCACCACCAAGGGACGAGGCUCCAAGUUUCACUCAUCCAUUCAACACACGUUGUCAAAUGUCACCAGACACGGUCCUGUGCCCUGAGGAUACUGCGGUGACAACGACUCUGCCUGCGGGACAUUCAGGUGGGGGCGGGGCAGAUUCAGAAAUAAACAAGAAACAAACAAACGCAUCUGUAAUACCUCCCGUGGCAGUUGGUGCUCUGGAGAACGAAGCAGGGGGGUGCCCUCCUCACCCUGCUUGGGCUGCACCCCCCCGCCCCCCACAUCACGCAGCUGCUGCCCUCACCACACACAUUGCCUU
Molecule: long non-coding RNA, 1151 nt
Organism: Leopardus geoffroyi (Geoffroy's cat)
Lineage: Eukaryota; Metazoa; Chordata; Mammalia; Carnivora; Felidae
Exons: 4
Source: RefSeq, a predicted model, not a curated record